Molecule: ribosomal RNA, 980 nt
Filed under: human gut metagenome
Description: bacterial LSU rRNA
Rfam family: Bacterial large subunit ribosomal RNA
Source: RNAcentral
AUAACGGUCCUAAGGUAGCGAAAUUCCUUGUCGGGUAAGUUCCGACCCGCACGAAAGGCGUAAUGAUUUGAGCACUGUCUCGACAAUGCAUCCGGUGAAAUUGAAGUACCAGUGAAGAUGCUGGUUACCUGCGCCAGGACGGAAAGACCCCAUGGAGCUUUACUCCAGUUUGAUACUGGGAUUCGGUACUGCACGUACAGGAUAGGUGGGAGACUUAGAACUAUGGACGCCAGUCUGUAGGGAGUCGCUGUUGGGAUACCACCCCUGUAGUACUGGGUUUCUAACCAUCUGCCGUGACCCGGCAGUGGGACAAUGUCAGGCGGGGAGUUUGACUGGGGCGGUCGCCUCCGAAAGGGUAUCGGAGGCGCUCAAAGGUUCCCUCAGAAUGGUUGGAAACCAUUCGAAGAGUGCAAAGGCAGAAGGGAGCUUGACUGCGACACCGACGGGUGGAGCAGGUACGAAAGUAGGACUUAGUGAUCCGGUGGUAUAAAGUGGGAUUGCCAUCGCUCAACGGAUAAAAGCUACCCUGGGGAUAACAGGCUUAUCACUCCCAAGAGUUCACAUCGACGGAGUGGUUUGGCACCUCGAUGUCGGCUCAUCGCAUCCUGGGGCUGUAGCAGGUCCCAAGGGUUGGGCUGUUCGCCCAUUAAAGCGGUACGCGAGCUGGGUUCAGAACGUCGUGAGACAGUUCGGUCCCUAUCCGGCGCGGGCGGAGGAUAUUUGAGAGGAGCUGUCCUUAGUACGAGAGGACCGGGAUGGACGGACCACUGGUGUAUCUGUUGUCGACCAACGGCAUGGCAGAGUAGCCAAGUCUGGAAGGGAUAAACGCUGAAGGCAUCUAAGCGUGAAGCCCCCCUCAAGAUGAGAUAUCCCUCCUUCGGGAGUAAGACCCCUUGAAGACUACAAGGUAGAUAGGGCAGAGGUGGAAGUGUGGCAACACAUGGAGCUGACUGUUACUAAUAGGUCGAGGGCUUGAUUAA